CAUCAAAACUGGUUCCGCCUUCCAGGCAGCACAAACAAAGGAACAACAUAAUAACAGAAGUUGUUUACUGGGUAUGUUGCUGCUCUCUACAAGGCUGUUCAAGUGGAGGGGCACACCUUGUCAAUUGCUGAACGACCUCCUUUGUAAAUUGAGUGAGAGUGUGCGAUUUGCCCUGGAGCAUCUUUUCAGUUGUUCUGAAUUCUGCCACUGCCACAACAGGAGCCUUUGGACUCAAGCUGCCAUGGUCCCUGAAGUCAUCAGCAGGCUGGGAGAGGGCACCAGAUGGGCAAGGAGGCUACAGCUCCUGCAGGACCAGGAAGAAAUGUCCAGAUCCAGAGGGUGAGGAAUUCAUCCACCAGCCUCUGUCAGGUUGUGACUGUGCAGUCUGUUUCUUCUGGAAGAGCCCCAAGUGACAGGUAAGAAAAGGAACACAAAAACACAA
This 442-nucleotide long non-coding RNA is filed under the name Chrysolophus pictus (golden pheasant). RNAcentral describes it as "lncRNA (ENSCPIG00010012894.1)". The record is from RNAcentral. Lineage: Eukaryota; Metazoa; Chordata; Aves; Galliformes; Phasianidae.